UACGGGGGGGGGCAAGCGUUGUUCGGAAUUACUGGGCGUAAAGGGCUCGUAGGCGGCCAACUAAGUCGGGUGUGAAAUCUCGGAGCUUAACUCCGAAACUGCAUUCGAUACUGCCGUGCUUGAGGACUGGAGAGGAGACUGGAAUUUACGGUGUAGCGGUGAAAUGCGUAGAUAUCGUAAGGAAGACCAGUGGCGAAGGCGGGUCUCUGGACAGUUCCUGACGCUGAGGCACGAAGGUCAGGGGAGCAAACGGG
Molecule: ribosomal RNA, 254 nt
Filed under: uncultured bacterium
Lineage: Bacteria
Description: partial 16S ribosomal RNA
Rfam family: Bacterial small subunit ribosomal RNA
Source: RNAcentral